Molecule: ribosomal RNA, 841 nt
Filed under: uncultured Gammaproteobacteria bacterium
Lineage: Bacteria; Pseudomonadati; Pseudomonadota; Gammaproteobacteria
Description: bacterial SSU rRNA
Rfam family: Bacterial small subunit ribosomal RNA
Source: RNAcentral
CAUGCAAGUCGAGCGGUAACAGACAUAAAGAUUCAGCUUGCUGAAUCCGGUGCUGACGAGCGGCGAACGGGUGAGUAACGCGUAGGAAUCUACCCAGUAGCGGGGGAUAGCCCGAGGAAACUCGGAUUAAUACCGCAUACGCCCUGAGGGGGAAAGGGGGCAGUUUACUGCUCUCACUAUUGGAUGAGCCUGCGUAAGAUUAGCUUGUUGGUGGGGUAAUGGCCUACCAAGGCGACGAUCUUUAGCUGGUCUGAGAGGACGAUCAGCCACAUUGGGACUGAGACACGGCCCAGACAUCUACGGAUGGCAGCAGUUAAGAAUAUUGGACAAUGGGGGCAACCCUGAUCCAGGUAUACCGCGUGUGUGAAGAAGGCCCUAGGGUUGUAAAGCACUUUAAUCAGAGAAGAAGCAUUUUAAGUUAAUACCUUAAUAUGUUGACGUUACCUGAAGAAUAAGGACCGGCUAACUCCGUGCCAGCAGCCGCGGUAAUACGGAGGGUCCAAGCGUUAAUCGGAAUUACUGGGCGUAAAGCGCGCGUAGGCGGUUUAGCAAGUUGUAUGUGAAAGCCCUGGGCUCAACCUAGGAACUGCAUCCAAAACUACUAAGCUAGAGUACGAGAGAGGAGAGUAGAAUUUCUGGUGUAGCGGUGAAAUGCGUAGAUAUCAGAAGGAAUACCAAUGGCGAAGGCAGCUCUCUGGCUCGUCACUGACGCUGAGGUGCGAAAGCGUGGGUAGCAAACAGGAUUAGAUACCCUGGUAGUCCACGCCGUAAACGAUGAGAACUAGCCGUUGGGCAGAUUUAACUGUUCAGUGGCACAGCUAACGCAUUAAGUUCUCCGCCU